RNAcentral lists this ribosomal RNA (468 nucleotides) under uncultured bacterium. RNAcentral describes it as "partial 16S ribosomal RNA". It matches the Rfam family "Bacterial small subunit ribosomal RNA", at positions 28 to 507 of the family's 1533-position model. The record is from RNAcentral.
GACGAACGCUGGCGGCGUGCUUAACACAUGCAAGUCGAACGGAAAGGCCCUGCUUUUGUGGGGUGCUCGUGUGGCGAACGGGUGAGUAACACGUGAGUAACCUGCCCUUGACUUUGGGAUAACUUCAGGAAACUGGGGCUAAUACCGGAUAGGAGCUCCUGCUGCAUGGUGGGGGUUGGAAAGUUUCGGCGGUUGGGGAUGGACUCGCGGCUUAUCAGCUUGUUGGUGGGGUAGUGGCUUACCAAGGCUUUGACGGGUAGCCGGCCUGAGAGGGUGACCGGCCACAUUGCGACUGAGAUACGGCCCAGACUCGUACGGGAGGCAGCAGUGGGGAAUAUUGCACAAUGGGCGGAAGCCUGAUGCAGCAACGCCGCGUGCGGAAUGACGGCUUUCGGGUUGUAAACCGCUUUCGCCUGUGACGAAGAGUGAGUGACGGUAAUGGGUAAAGAAGCACCGGCUAACUACGUG